Bacillus methanolicus MGA3 is the source of this 152-nucleotide regulatory RNA element. It matches the Rfam family "Ribosomal protein L10 leader". From Rfam's summary of the family: This family is a putative r-protein leader autoregulatory structure found in B. subtilis and other low-GC Gram-positive bacteria. It is located in the 5' untranslated regions of mRNAs encoding ribosomal proteins L10 and L12 (rplJ-rplL). The record is from Rfam. NCBI's taxonomy places the organism in Bacteria, Bacillati, Bacillota, Bacilli, Caryophanales, Bacillaceae.
AAUAGUAUAGCAUUUGUACCGCAGACAGUAGGUGCCGAGAGGCUUAAUUUCCUACCGAGGUAUUACGAUAGAAUUAGUUAGUCCGUUUUAAAGCGGCUAUUGUAUACUGCCUCCAUGUCUGUGAAAAGAUGUGGAGGUUUUUUAUUGGUCGG